This 455-nucleotide ribosomal RNA is filed under the name Pterolebias phasianus. RNAcentral describes it as "partial 12S ribosomal RNA". It matches the Rfam family "Bacterial small subunit ribosomal RNA", at positions 875 to 1522 of the family's 1533-position model. The record is from RNAcentral. Lineage: Eukaryota; Metazoa; Chordata; Actinopteri; Cyprinodontiformes; Rivulidae.
GAAAACUACAAACGCAAGUUUAAAACUCAAGAGACCUGGCGGCGUUUUAGGUACCCUAGAGGAGCCUGUCCUAUAACCGAUAAUCCCCGUUAAACCUUACCUUUUUUGCCUUAGUCUAUAUACCGCCGUCAUAGUUCACCCUUCCAAAGGCCUCAAUAGUGGGCAAAAAUGAUUAAACCCAGAACAUCAGGUCGAGGUACAGCCUACAAAAAGCGAAGAGAUGGGCUACAUUUCCUACAUAGGGCCCCCGGACAAUGCUUUGAAACAAGAAUAUUAAAGAAGGAUUUAGUAGUAAGUAAAAAAUAGAGAGUUUUACUGAAAACUUACCCUUAACGCGCACACACCGCCCGUCACUCCCCCCUAAUAUCUAAAUUAAAAUAAAUAAUUAAAUCACCCUAUAAAGGAGGGACAAGUCGUAACAUGGUAAGUGUACUGGAAAGUGCACUUGGACAGAC